AUCCAGAUGACGAGCCUCAAAUAGGACGAAAUGCGCAUCCUGGAU
RNAcentral lists this non-coding RNA (45 nucleotides) under Trichobilharzia regenti. Lineage: Eukaryota; Metazoa; Platyhelminthes; Trematoda; Strigeidida; Schistosomatidae. The record is from RNAcentral.